This 434-nucleotide ribosomal RNA is filed under the name uncultured bacterium. RNAcentral's name for it is "partial 16S ribosomal RNA". It matches the Rfam family "Bacterial small subunit ribosomal RNA", at positions 29 to 507 of the family's 1533-position model. The record is from RNAcentral.
AGCGAACGCUGGCGGCAGGCCUAACACAUGCAAGUCGAACGAACCUUUCGGGGUUAGUGGCGGACGGGUGAGUAACACGUGGGAACGUGCCUUUAGGUUCGGAAUAACUCAGGGAAACUUGUGCUAAUACCGAAUGUGCCCUUCGGGGGAAAGAUUAAUCGCCUUUAGAGCGGCCCGCGUCUGAUUAGCUAGUUGGUUGAGGUAAUGGCUCACCACGGCGACGAUCAGUAGCUGGUCUGAGAGGAUGAUCAGCCACAUUGGGACUGAGACACGGCCCAAACUCCUACGGGAGGCAGCAGUGGGGAAUCUUGCGCAAUGGGCGAAAGCCUGACGCAGCCAUGCCGCGUGAAUGAUGAAGGUCUUAGGAUUGUAAAAUUCUUUCACCGGGGACGAUAAUGACGGUACCCGGAGAAGAAGCCCCGGCUAACUUCGUG